GAGGGGGAUAACUACUGGAAACGGUAGCUAAUACCGCAUAAUGUCGCAAGACCAAAGGGGGGACCUUCGGGCCUCAUGCCAUCAGAUUGCCCAGAUGGGAUUAGCUAGUAGGUGGGGAACGGCUCACCUAGGCGACGAUCCCUAGCUGGUCUGAGAGGAUGACCAGCACACUGGAACUGAGACACGGUCCAGACUCCUACGGGAGGCAGCAGUGGGAAUAUUGCACAAUGGGCGCAAGCCUAGAUGCAGCCAUGCCGCGUGUGUGAGAAGGCCUUCGGGUUGUAAAGCACUUUCAGCGGGGAGGAAGGCGGUGAGUUAAUAACCUUGUCGAUUGACGUUACCCGCAGAAGAAGAAGCACCGGCUAAUCCGUGCCAGCAGCCGCGGUAAUACGGAGGGUGCAAGCGUUAAUCGGAAUACUGGGCGUAAAGCGCACGCAGGCGGUCUGUCAAGUCCGAUGUGAAAUCCCGGGCUCAACCUGGGAACUGCAUUCCAAACUGGGAGGC
RNAcentral lists this ribosomal RNA (504 nucleotides) under Klebsiella pneumoniae. Its description in RNAcentral is "bacterial SSU rRNA". It matches the Rfam family "Bacterial small subunit ribosomal RNA", at positions 136 to 641 of the family's 1533-position model. The record is from RNAcentral. Lineage: Bacteria; Pseudomonadati; Pseudomonadota; Gammaproteobacteria; Enterobacterales; Enterobacteriaceae.